CACGUAGUUAGCCGUCCCUUUCUGGUAAGAUACCGUCACAGUGUGAACUUUCCACUCUCACACUCGUUCUUCUCUUACAACAGAGCUUUACGAUCCGAAAACCUUCUUCACUCACGCGGCGUUGCUCGGUCAGACUUCCGUCCAUUGCCGAAAGAUUCCCUACUGCUGCCUCCCGUAGGAGUCUGGGCCGUGUCUCAGUCCCAGUGUGGCCGAUCACCCUCUCAGGUCGGCUAUGUAUCGUCGCCUUGGUGAGCCGUUACCCCACCAACUAGCUAAUACAACGCAGGUCCAUCUGGUAGUGAUGCAAUUGCACCUUUUAAGCAAAUGUCAUGCAACAUUUACUGUUAUGCGGUAUUAGCUAUCGUUUCCAAUAGUUAUCCCCCGCUACCAGGCAGGUUACCUACGCGUUACUCACCCGUUCGCAACUCGUCCAGAAGAGCAAGCUCUCCCCUUCAGCGUUCUACUUGCAUGUAUUAGGCACGCCGCCAGCGUGU
This 494-nucleotide ribosomal RNA is filed under the name uncultured Streptococcus sp. Its description in RNAcentral is "partial 16S ribosomal RNA". Lineage: Bacteria; Bacillati; Bacillota; Bacilli; Lactobacillales; Streptococcaceae. The record is from RNAcentral.